GGGUGUCUACAAUUACGAUGCUAGAUCUAUUGCUAUAAAUGCUGCAAAAUAUAAAAAUGUUUAUUAUAAACUUAUGGCAUAUGUUAUUUUAGUAAUCAGUAAAGCAAAGUAUUAAAUUUCUUUUUAAAUAUUUCUAGUAAAGUAUGAGAAAUGUUUUGGUAAUAAGUCAAGGUGAAAAAUAAGAUUGAUUAGAAUUACAUUAUGUCUCACAAAUUGCCC
RNAcentral lists this long non-coding RNA (219 nucleotides) under Elaeis guineensis (African oil palm). RNAcentral's name for it is "long non-coding RNA (EGUI_LNC009260)". The record is from RNAcentral. Lineage: Eukaryota; Viridiplantae; Streptophyta; Magnoliopsida; Arecales; Arecaceae.